RNAcentral lists this ribosomal RNA (225 nucleotides) under uncultured bacterium. Its description in RNAcentral is "partial 16S ribosomal RNA". It matches the Rfam family "Bacterial small subunit ribosomal RNA", at positions 28 to 240 of the family's 1533-position model. The record is from RNAcentral.
GAUGAACGCUGGCGGCGUGCUUUAACACAUGCAAGUCGAGCGAAGCACUUGGAUUACUUCGGUUUGAAGAGUGACUGAGCGGCGGACGGGUGAGUAAACGCGUGGGUAACCUGCCUCAUACAGGGGGAUAACAGUUAGAAAUGACUGCUAAUACCGCAUAAGCGCACAGGACCGCAUGGUCUGGUGUGAAAAAACUCCGGUGGUAUGAGAUGGACCCGCGUUGGA